AGGACGACGCUGGCGGCGUGCCUAACACAUGCAAGUCGAGCGGGGACUUGGGAGCUUGCUCCUGGGUUCUAGCGGCGGACGGGUGAGUAACGCGUGAGCAACCUGCCUCUUACUGGGGGAUAACGCAUCGAAAGAUGUGCUAAUACCGCGUAAGACCACGGAGUCGCAUGGCUCAGGGGUCAAAGGAGCAAUCCGGUAAGAGAUGGGCUCGCGUCCGAUUAGCUAGUUGGUGAGAUAACGGCCCACCAAGGCGACGAUGCGUAGCCGACCUGAGAGGGUGAUCGGCCACAUUGGGACUGAGACACGGCCCAGACUCCUACGGGAGGCAGCAGUGGGGAAUAUUGCACAAUGGGGGAAACCCUGAUGCAGCAAUGCCGCGUGAGUGAUGACGGCCUUCGGGUUGUAAAGCUCUGUCUUCAGGGACGAUAAUGACGGUACCUGAGGAGGAAGCCACGGCUAACUACGUG
RNAcentral lists this ribosomal RNA (467 nucleotides) under uncultured bacterium. Its description in RNAcentral is "bacterial SSU rRNA". It matches the Rfam family "Bacterial small subunit ribosomal RNA", at positions 33 to 507 of the family's 1533-position model. The record is from RNAcentral.